This 421-nucleotide ribosomal RNA is filed under the name uncultured bacterium. RNAcentral describes it as "partial 16S ribosomal RNA". It matches the Rfam family "Bacterial small subunit ribosomal RNA", at positions 360 to 773 of the family's 1533-position model. The record is from RNAcentral.
AAUAUUGGACAAUGGGGGCAACCCUGAUACAGCCAUGCCGCGUGUGUGAAGAAGGUCAUCGGAUUGUAAAGCACUUUAAUUUGGGAGGAAGGGCUUUAGGUUAAUACCCUGAAUUUUUGACGUUACCACAAGAAUAAGCACCGGCGAACACUGUGCCAGCGCCCCCGGUAAUACAGAGGGUCCAAGCGUUAAUCGGAAUUACUGGGCGUAAAGCGCGCGUAGGUGGUUCAGUAAGAUGGGUGUGAAAUCCCCGGGCUUAACCUGGGAACUGCUUUCAUAACUGCUGAGCUAGAGUACGGUAGAGGGUAGUGGAAUUUCCUGUGUAGCGGUGAAAUGCGUAGAUAUAGGAAGGAACACCAGUGGCGAAGGCGACUACCUGGACUGAUACUGACACUGAGGUGCGAAAGCGUGGGGAGCAAAC